Molecule: ribosomal RNA, 1436 nt
Filed under: uncultured organism
Description: 16S ribosomal RNA
Rfam family: Bacterial small subunit ribosomal RNA
Source: RNAcentral
CAGGCUUAACACAUGCAAGUCGAGGGGCAGCAUGGUCUUAGCUUGCUAAGACUGAUGGCGACCGGCGCACGGGUGAGUAACACGUAUCCAACCUGCCGUCUACUCUUGGACAGCCUUCUGAAAGGAAGAUUAAUACAAGAUGGCAUCAUGAGUCCGCAUGUUCACAUGAUUAAAGGUAUUCCGGUAGACGAUGGGGAUGCGUUCCAUUAGAUAGUAGGCGGGGUAACGGCCCACCUAGUCUUCGAUGGAUAGGGGUUCUGAGAGGAAGGUCCCCCACAUUGGAACUGAGACACGGUCCAAACUCCUACGGGAGGCAGCAGUGAGGAAUAUUGGUCAAUGGGCGAGAGCCUGAACCAGCCAAGUAGCGUGAAGGAUGACUGCCCUAUGGGUUGUAAACUUCUUUUAUAAAGGAAUAAAGUCGGGUAUGCAUACCCGUUUGCAUAUACUUUAUGAAUAAGGAUCGGCUAACUCCGUGCCAGCAGCCGCGGUAAUACGGAGGAUCCGAGCGUUAUCCGGAUUUAUUGAGUUUAAAGGGAGCGUAGAUGGAUGUUUAAGUCAGUUGUGAAAGUUUGCGGCUCAACCGUAAAAUUGCAGUUGAUACUGGAUAUCUUGAGUGCAGUUGAGGCAGGCGGAAUUCGUGGUGUAGCGGUGAAAUGCUUAGAUAUCACGAAGAACUCCGAUUGCGAAGGCAGCCUGCUAAGCUGCAACUGACAUUGAGGCUCGAAAGUGUGGGUAUCAAACAGGAUUAGAUACCCUGGUAGUCCACACGGUAAACGAUGAAUACUCGCUGUUUGCGAUAUACAGCAAGCGGCCAAGCGAAAGCGUUAAGUAUUCCACCUGGGGAGUACGCCGGCAACGGUGAAACUCAAAGGAAUUGACGGGGGCCCGCACAAGCGGAGGAACAUGUGGUUUAAUUCGAUGAUACGCGAGGAACCUUACCCGGGCUUAAAUUGCAGAUGAAUUACGGUGAAAGCCGUAAGCCGCAAGGCAUCUGUGAAGGUGCUGCAUGGUUGUCGUCAGCUCGUGCCGUGAGGUGUCGGCUUAAGUGCCAUAACGAGCGCAACCCUUGUUGUCAGUUACUAACAGGUUCCGCUGAGGACUCUGACAAGACUGCCAUCGUAAGAUGUGAGGAAGGUGGGGAUGACGUCAAAUCAGCACGGCCCUUACGUCCGGGGCUACACACGUGUUACAAUGGGGGGUACAGAGGGCCGCUACCACGCGAGUGGAUGCCAAUCCCCAAAACCUCUCUCAGUUCGGACUGGAGUCUGCAACCCGACUCCACGAAGCUGGAUUCGCUAGUAAUCGCGCAUCAGCCACGGCGCGGUGAAUACGUUCCCGGGCCUUGUACACACCGCCCGUCAAGCCAUGGGAGCCGGGGGUACCUGAAGUGCGUAACCGCGAGGAGCGCCCUAGGGUAAAACUGGUGACUGGGGCUA